RNAcentral lists this long non-coding RNA (957 nucleotides) under Oryctolagus cuniculus (rabbit). RNAcentral's name for it is "lncRNA (ENSOCUG00000033927.1)". The record is from RNAcentral. Lineage: Eukaryota; Metazoa; Chordata; Mammalia; Lagomorpha; Leporidae.
CUCUGCGGACAGGGCCAGGAGAGAUGCGCAGGGCUCCGGAGAGGUCUGCCCGCACCCCGGCCCGUGCCCAGGGAGCUCGGGCCCCAGCGAAGAGUGGCGCUCCAAGCCUCCUCGCAGCUCUCAGAUGUCACAUGUGGAAGCCACGCGGAUGGUCUGUCCCUGAGAUGAGUGAGAUACCAGCUGUCCAGGUUGCAUGUGUGCUGCUCGGAAACACAGGUGUGCACAGGUACAAGGUGUGUGAGUUGUAUUUAAGAGGUAGAACAGUUAUACUCACAGAUUGGUCCUGUUACAUGUGUAUCAAAUUUCAGAAGGAUGUGCCUCAUGGUUACAGCGCUUUCUCUCUUUCUCUCCUCUCCUUUUCUUCCUCCUUCCCUCCCCUCUUCCCUCUCCUUCACAACUCUCCCCUGCCUCUAUCCUUCCCAGUGUACGUAUUCUACCACCACUUGGGCGAAAAAACACAGCAGCCGGAGGGAGGCACUUGUUCGGAUUUCUCUCACUGUGAGACAUUUAUGCUGAUGUGUCUGCAAAGGCUCAUGGGAGCUGAUUUCUACGCGGACGGAGAAGAGCAGGCCCGCGCAGUGCGCACAGAGGCUGGGGCUGGAAUGUGUCUCUCCCCAAGGAUGUCGGGCAGCUCACGGUACCGAAGUUAGGCAAGGAAACGCAGUCUGCGAAGCGGGGCGGCGAUCGGCGCCACGGCGGCCCCAGGCCCCUGCGGUAGGCUUGGGGCUGGCGGUGGAGGCGCCCAGGGAGAGGGUACAGUCUCCUCCUGGCCGCUGCCGCAGGGCUCCAGGUGGGUGAGGCGGUCGCCCCGGGAAGCGGUCCGGGCGCGCUUGGAUUUAUUUAUCAGUCCUCUGGGGCGGGCUGGAUAGGGCCUGGCUCACUGGCGAGGUCCAGGUCCCCACCGGCGGGGCAUUUUGUGCCGAGCUGCGUGGGCUGCGGGGGGUGGGGGCGCCCUCU